RNAcentral lists this ribosomal RNA (497 nucleotides) under uncultured bacterium. RNAcentral describes it as "partial 16S ribosomal RNA". It matches the Rfam family "Bacterial small subunit ribosomal RNA", at positions 28 to 507 of the family's 1533-position model. The record is from RNAcentral.
GAUGAACGCUGGCGGCGUGCCUAAUACAUGCAAGUCGAGCGAACAGACGAGGAGCUUGCUCCUCUGACGUUAGCGGCGGACGGGCGAGUAACACGUGGAUAACCUACCUAUAAGACUGGGAUAACUUCGGGAAACCGGAGCUAAUACCGGAUAAUAUAUUGAACCGCAUGGUUCAAUAGUGAAAGACGGUUUUGCUGUCACUUAUAGAUGGAUCCGCGCCGCAUUAGCUAGUUGGUAAGGUAACGGCUUACCAAGGCAACGAUGCGUAGCCGACCUGAGAGGGUGAUCGGCCACACUGGAACUGAGACACGGUCCAGACUCCUACGGGAGGCACCAGUAGGGAAUCUUCCGCAAUGGGCGAAAGCCUGACGGAGCAACGCCGCGUGAGUGAUGAAGGUCUUCGGAUCGUAAAACUCUGUUAUUAGGGAAGAACAAAUGUGUAAGUAACUAUGCACGUCUUGACGGUACCUAAUCAGAAAGCCACGGCUAACUACGUG